RNAcentral lists this long non-coding RNA (942 nucleotides) under Brachypodium distachyon (stiff brome). RNAcentral describes it as "long non-coding RNA (BDIS_LNC000038)". The record is from RNAcentral. Lineage: Eukaryota; Viridiplantae; Streptophyta; Magnoliopsida; Poales; Poaceae.
AUGCUUAAUUAAUUAACACCGAUCGAUCCCCAUUAAAACCAAACCACAUCGAUCAGACGUCGAAGGUGUUCUUGCCGGUGAACUUGACCUCAAUCGGGCUAACAUUCUUCCCGAUGCUCCUGAAAUUCUGCCCGACGCCCUGCCUGCCGGCGUUCACCUUCUCCGGGUACACCCCGUCCUUGGGGUGGAGGUACUGCACCUCGCCGCUGGGGAAGACGCGGUAGAACUGGUAGGCGAUCUUGUACUUGGAGCGGAGCCGGUUGCCGAGCGCCAGGCACUGCUCCUUGCGCGCCAGCUUGAGGAGGUUGGGCCCCUCACGCAUGAUGGCGGCGCCGCCCGUCGGCAUCUCGAACACCUGCUCCUUGGGCGACGUCCACGUGAUGACGUAGAAUUCCUCGACCUGGGCUUUGCGGAGGAGCCCGCCCGUGCUGCCGCCGAAGAUUGGGGAUGGGGUUGAGGGGUCGAGCUGGGGCGGGACGAAGCCGGCGGGGGCUGGGGUGGCGACGGGAGCCGCCGGGGUUUCUGGGGCGGCGGCGUGGAGGGCGGUUGGGGCGCGGGAGGUGGGGGAAGGGAAGGCGAGGGAGCGGGGUUUGGGGGAGGAGGAAGGGGACCGGGUGGCGGCGAGGAGGUGGCGGGUGGCGGCGGAGGCUUGCGUGGCCAUGGCCAUGGCGGGAGCUAGCUUAGCGAGAGCAAGGAGCGCGCGUGUGGGGGAUGGAUAUGGAUCGGAGUUGAUGGAGGGAAGAAGAAGAAGGGGUGGCUGAGCUUUGGCUAAAGAGGGGAUUGGGGGUGGAGAAGCGGAUAAGGGGAUAUGAGGCCGGCCAAUGGGGAGCCCGGGUUUUGAUACGGCCGGAGCGGGAGGCUUGGCGUGGCGACCACAGAAAACACAAUACAAAUCGCAGCGUGUCAACGUGCACUGGGGUCGCCGGUCGCGGUUUUCCGUGG